RNAcentral lists this RNase P RNA (352 nucleotides) under Clostridium muellerianum. Its description in RNAcentral is "Clostridium sp. P21 RNase P RNA component class A". It matches the Rfam family "Bacterial RNase P class A". From Rfam's summary of the family: Ribonuclease P (RNase P) is a ubiquitous endoribonuclease, found in archaea, bacteria and eukarya as well as chloroplasts and mitochondria. Its best characterised activity is the generation of mature 5'-ends of tRNAs by cleaving the 5'-leader elements of precursor-tRNAs. Cellular RNase Ps are ribonucleoproteins. Lineage: Bacteria; Bacillati; Bacillota; Clostridia; Eubacteriales; Clostridiaceae. The record is from RNAcentral.
UGAGUAAGCCAGACAAUCGCUGCUGUAGGAAUACAGGAGAGGAAAGUCCGAGCUCCAUAGGACAGGGUGCUGGGUAAUACCCAGUCAGGGCGACUUGAAGGAAAGUGCAACAGAGAUAUACCGCCAUGUGUGUUUUCACACAUGGUAAGGGUGGAAAGGCGAGGUAAGAGCUCACCAGCGCAUUGGCGACUUUGCGGCUAUGUAAACCCCAUCUGGAGCAAGAUCGAAUAGGGAGGCAUAUAAGGGGUGGUCCGUCCCGCCUCCGGGUAGUAUCGCUGGAGCCUAUUAGUAAUGAUAGGCCUAGAUAGAUGAUUGUCUAAUACAGAACUCGGCUUAUAGACUUGGUCACAUA